Molecule: unclassified non-coding RNA, 340 nt
Filed under: soil metagenome
Description: partial contains 5.8S ribosomal RNA, internal transcribed spacer 2, and large subunit ribosomal RNA
Rfam family: 5.8S ribosomal RNA (bases 1-120)
Source: RNAcentral
GAUGAAGAACGCAGCGAAAUGCGAUACGUAAUGUGAAUUGCAGAAUUCCGUGAAUCAUCGAAUCUUUGAACGCACAUUGCGCCCGCCAGCAUUCUGGCGGGCAUGCCUGUUCGAGCGUCAUUUCAACCCUCGACGUCCCCCGGGACGUCGGCCUUGGGGACCGGCAGCACCCCGCCGGCCCUGAAAUGGAGUGGCGGCCCGUCCGCGGCGACCUCUGCGAAGUACUACAGCUCGCACCGGAAACCCGACGCGGCCCCGCCGUGAAACCCCCAACUCUGAACGUUGACCUCGGAUCAGGUAGGAAUACCCGCUGAACUUAAGCAUAUCAAUAAGCGGAGGA